Long non-coding RNA from Gallus gallus (chicken), 4091 nucleotides. RefSeq lists it as uncharacterized. NCBI's taxonomy places the organism in Eukaryota, Metazoa, Chordata, Aves, Galliformes, Phasianidae. The record is from RefSeq and is a predicted model, not a curated record. The transcript has 3 exons.
GAGGCCCCGCGUGGGCUUUGCAGCCGGAGCGGCACGAGCGGGGGCCACGCGUGCAGGGCAGGAUUUCGGCAGGGCCACGCUCGCCGUGCCGCAGCCUUUCCCUCUCCCAGCACUCCGAAAAAGUGUUUAUUUUGGUAGCGUGCACGAAGUUCCAGCUAUUCUAAAAAGCCGAGAUUUCGCAGCUAAGCUUUCCUGUUCCCAGCAGAGAAGGAGGAUGGAAGGUGUGCACUGUCCCACCUUGCAGAACAAGCUGCCCAGCCAACUCUCAAGGACCUGUGACAUGAUUCCCUGGGGCUCUACUAUACCGAGCAUCAGGGGUACCCUCAGGAGCUCCUCAUAGGACCCAACACCAUUCUCCAGCUCUGAAUCAGCCUUUGGGACUGUGUGCAGGGUGGUGACCAGUGGCUCUCAGGCCCAGCUGCCUCCCCUCGCCUCUUGGAUACAUCUUCAACAUGGUACUGUGUGCAGGAGAUAGAGCUGGUUUAUGUACUUGCUCUCUUCCAUUGCUCUGGUAUUUAAUCAGCUUUUCUUUGUAUAGUACAAACUCCUUUUGCUCCAGAAAGCUUUUUUUUUUUUUUUUUUUUUUUAAUUGGAUCAUAUAAGUGUGAGAUGAAAAACUUGCAUCACUGCAUAAAACUGCUGUGGGUGAUCCCAUAAGCUCUCAGAUAAGACGCAAUGAAGGCUACAGCGUGGACACCCAAGAGGAGAUGGGGGAAGCACUGCAGCUGUGAGCCCUUGGCUUUCUUGGGCUCCUGAGCAUCCUCAGGCAGAUGUAAUGUUUAAUCUGUGUGCUCUCAUAUUUCACACAGCAUGAUCUGCUGCUGCAUGGGAUAAGGAUGCCCUUGCUCCUUCCGACUUUUGCUAAUUAAGGUUUUCCCUUCAGCCAACAUGCCCUUCAGGAAGGGUAUUUUAAUUCUUCCAGCAGGCUUGAGUAAAUGGAUGCUCCUCUGGCAACCUGUCCAGCCUGUCCCUUGCGUUGUCCCAUCUUACUGAUGUGAUGCAUAGGCGCUACCUUCCUGGAGACCUUUUUUUUUUUCCCUCCAAUAUAUUGAAUAAUUUCUCCAUCAGGAAGGAAAGUAACUUGCAAUAAUGAACCAUCAGCGGGUAUUUAAGAUUGCUUUAAUGGGUCGCAUUGAUGGAAUCUACGCUUUUUGCUGGAAAGAUCACACUUGGCCGUAACCUUAAUUCAUGUUUAUGUCAGAAGAAAAUAUGCAGUGGAGAUGGCUCAGAAACAGCUUUUCUCUGCUCAGCAGCCAGAUACAAAUGUGCAGAGCUUCUAAAAUUGUGCUGAGUUUUGGAAAAAAAAUUAAACGUAAAUAAAAAACAGAUGUCCAGGAUGGUUCUCUCUUGCAUAGAGAAGUUCCUUAAAACUGGUUUCUGUCCUAAGAUGUAACCCAAGAAGGUGUGUGUCCAGGGGCCCAGAACUGUGCAGAGGUAAGUGUCCCUAAUGUUGCUUUUAGGAGCAUCUUUAUCAUAACCCUUAUAGUCCAUCCCUGGAAGCAUUCAAGUCCAACCUGUAUACAGCCCUGCUGCUUGAUCUAGUUGUUGGCAAGCCUGUCCGCAGCAGGAGGUUGGAACUCAAUGAUCUUUGAAGUCCAUUCUGUGAUAUGCACCUUUUCUCAGUGCUCUCCUCUGUGUGUGGCUGGAAGUAGUGCGUAGGCAGGAGAUGCCCAUAGGAAGUUUGGCUGGUUUGAACACAGCCGAAGGAAAGAGGCUGACUGUAGAUACGUGAAUAAAAGCAACAGAGUUAAAUAUAAUCAGUAAGGUUUGACCUUCCAACCCCUUCCUUGUGCCCAUUAUUCCAUGUUGGACGGACCUCUCUGAAGGCCAAGAGCUGUCCCAGGCUGGGCUAGCAGUGGCAUUUAGGUUUUCUGCAGAGAAAAGAGAUGAGAAUAAUGUCUGAAACCAUUCCUCUUGGUCAGGAUGAGCUGCUCUGUCUUGCAGAAGAUGAGAUAAAGUUGCAGGUUCGCUCGGUUGAGAUAGAUGAGGGUGCAAGGGAAGGCAAUGAAAAUAAUAAAAAUUAUUGGAGCUGUCUCUGCAAGCUUGGUGGAAGGGACAGCCAUGACUAAUGCUGCGUGAAUGAUUUGCAGAAAAUGAUUUCUUCGACAAACUUUGCCUUAAUGGAGGUAAACUGUCAAAGGCCACAACGCAAGUUUUCUGAUGUGUUCAUGAGUCAGAACUAUUUAAUGAGGAAACGGAGCUCCUGUCCCUGAGGCCUUGCAGCGGGUUCCCCUGGGGCCGCAGUGCUCCUCUGCAAGAGAGAUUCAAGGGCUGCUCCCAGCAAGGAGAGCUUGUUCCUCAGGUCACCCUGUGCUGCUCCAGAUAAUGCUGGGAUGCUUAAUUUCAGGCUUUCCUGGGGAGUAGAUAUACAAUACUGUGAUACGUGAAACCUGAAAGCAAAAGAGACUCGGUAGUCUGAAUGUGCACAUGCUGGUGCUCCUGUAAAUACUUCUGGUGGGCUAUGUCUGUGCUCAUGUUGUAUCUCCUUUUCUGAUGUGCAGUCUCCCUCCUCAUUCUUUCCUUAUCACUGUGAUGAGUGAAUGGGUUUUUGUUUCUGGAAGUCUCUUUAAGACUUUAAUUAAAUCAGGAGAAUGUUCUCCAUGAUGGUUCCCUGCUGCUUAUCAAGGUUCUUAAGGCCUUGAUUCAUUACUCUGUAUUAUUUCUCUAGCCUGAAAUAAGCUUUAAAGACCUGUUAUAGGGAGAGAUUAAAGUUAUGACAUAAACAAACUCAUAUGCGUGUUGUUUUCACACAGACGAUGCUUUUAGUAUUAUAUUUAACAUUCCAAAAAGACCUAUUGCUUAUAGAGAGCUUUUCUGACUGGAUGCCUUUGAAAGGUUAGGUACCGACCCCGUUUGAUCUUGCACUAUUUGGAUCUUUUUGUUCACAUUCUGUGGCUCUCUGACAGUCUGGGCUGCCCCAGAGCCCCCCUCCAUACCCCUGUGUGGCAACAGUGCUGUUCUGUGAUGCUGUUGCAGUGACAACUGGAGCCCUUCUGGAGUAUGCAUCAAUGCAGCAGGUGGCUGCUGCUCUGGUGUGUGUGAAGUUCUUCUAAUGUGGCUUCUCUCCUGCUUCUAUAAAGGUUAUACAAGUAAAUAAUCCUGCUCUAGCACAGCAUCCUCCCAGUGCCUGCAUGGCCGCAUGGGUAACUCUUGCCAAGGCUGACUUGUGCUGAUUAAUAUACUACAGAGUGAAAUAAUUUCUUUUCUUUUUUUUUCUUUUUUUUUUUUUAAAGGGAGCAGAGAUGUAAAGCUUAGAAUGUGCCUUAGAGAAGCUUGCUCCCUUUAUGUUCCCUGUGCUGAAGGCUGAUUAGCUUUUGUUUCUUUCUCCAGCCUUAAUUGGGGGAACCGCUGUGCUCGUUUCCCUCCUGCCCUUCUACACUGCUCCCCAGCAGUGUCAGAUCAGCCAACAGCCACAUGCUUUGGGAGGUGACCUCACUCUGCUGCAGGGAAGCACACAGCAUCCCCAGGGUCAGGUGAGCAAUGCCCAACCUCCCUUUGCACCCUGGGCAGGCUGCAAUGGCACCAGGUUUGGAGAAGGAACACCUCUGGCCAUGCACAGGAGGGGCAUCCAUUCCCCCCUCCCUUCCUGGCAGUUGCGCUGUGCUGGAUUAAUAUUUAUGCUGGUCAUGUCUCUGUAAUGGGCCUUUUAGCACUCUUCUAGAGCAAUGUAUUAGGUAGGACCUUGGGUUGUGGCCAAGGAGUGGGAGAGCACUGGGAAGUGGCUAGAUGCUGCCCAGCGUUUCUCUGAACAGCAUGGCGGGGUACCAAGUGCACCUGCCGGGUAUCCCAUGUCCCGAGAACACAGCAAAGGGCCACCUCUGUGGUGCUAGACAUGGUUGGCUGCCUACCACAGCCAGUGCCUUCUGCUGACAGCACAGUGUCAGGCAGGUACCAUUCUAUAAGAGCAGGGAGAGUGAAGUUCUGAGAUUCAGAAAGCUCGGGCUCAGGAGAGGAAGUGUUCUGCCCCUGGAUGGAUGCUGCUCCCCACCCAGGGAUGCUGCAAAAUAAAUUCCCUUGUGAAGAAGGGAGAAGCCUCUAAUCUUCCUGCUCCCUAGAUUUAGUUGUGCCAUUAGCUGGACCCUGCACAUAAA